GCUAAGACAUGAUGGAAGACCUUUACUAAAAGAAGAAAGAGAUCAUAAUAUUACAGUUACAAUUUAUCAAUAUCACCCUUGGUGGUGGUUAAGGCCAGGAUUAAGAACAGGAGACAAUAUCACCUCAUUCGCACAACAGGAAAUAGAAGACAAUUUCACUUCCCAUACAACACUGGAUACAGAAUCGUAUGUCACCUCCAUUACACCAGUCUCCUAUAAUGAAAUGGUUGAGAAAAAACAAUUCACCAUCCCAGAAUCUGGUAUUGUUAGCUUUGAGUUUCCAGUAAUGCAACGUUUUGGGCAAAUACAUAUUGAGGUGGGUACAUAUCUUUUCUCAGCACUUGUACAUGCUGUUUAAAAUGAGCUGUAAUUAGUCAGAAUUUUGGGAUAUUGUCUAAAUUCCAUAACUCCAAAACACUAUAUGGUAUAAACAUGAAAGCAAUGAUUCAGUUUGUUUGAUUCAUGAUUCAGAGGUUCUGUGGUGCCAAAAAAGGGACAAUUGAUGGGGAAAAAAGUUGAUUUUAUUCACAUAUCAUGCAGGAAGUGACUAAUAGAGGAAAAAAGUAGGAGCAAUAAAAUAUAUAUAUAUAUACAUGUUUAAUAUACUUAGAUAUUUAAUAAAUAUAUUAUCUUAUGUAUAUAUAUAUGCUUUCCUAUGCGACGGGCUGAAUGCGCGCACAGCUCUUGCCGCGCGUGCGCAUUCAGCCCAGGAGGAGGAUCGGAGGAGGAGAGAAGGAGGAGAGCUCUCCGCCCAGCGCUGGAAAAAGGUAAGUUUUUAACCUUUUCCCCCUUCCAGAGCCGGGCGGGAGGGGGUCCCUGGGCACCCUCAGGGAACUAUAGUGGCAGGAAACGAGUAUGUUUUCCUGGCACUAUAGUGGUCCUUUAAGAAACCCAGUUUGUCAGAGGGAGCCCAUGGCAAUUCUAGUAAAAGACCAGAUUUUAUACAAGGUCACCAAGGCCAUUGAAGUGGCAAGCAGGAGAGGUUUGGCAAGGCCAGUGGAGCAAUCAAACAUCUCCCUUAUCAGCCAGCUCAUUCUCAUGCCCCAGGAGGCAGGGAGCAGCAGGAGGUUGCAGACCACAUGCGUUGCUCCUAUGAGCAUUGCCAAGGGUUACUGGAUUAAGCAAUGCAAGUUGCCUGCACCCAUGGACGGUGCAGACCAAAUGAUGCAGCCAGUUGAUCAACUCCCAAGAGGGUGGGGGGGAUACACUUACUUUCCUCCCUCCCUCCCUACAGACCCUAACACACCCCCAAUGAUCAAAACAGUCCAUAUUUCCCCAACACACAACAGCCCCUAUUACUCACCAACACAAAGAACACACAAACACAACUUUCCCUAUCACUCCAAUUCACACACAAUUGACCCUAUGUCUCUCAACACGUACUCAACAGUUCCUAUCUUCCUCAAACACACACACUCAACAGCCCCUAUAUUUCCUCAACACACACAACAGUCCCUAAACCCAUACUUGAGGCACAUUUCCCCCGCACACAUAAACCACAGUAACAUUUUCCCUCACACACUAAAGCACCCAUCCUCCCCACACACUAAGGCCCUCAUUUCCUUAAACACCCUAUAUUCCCUAACACUAUAAAAACCUCUGCAGCAUCCAUCCCCCAAACACUCACUUAGGUCCUGUCUCUCUAAUAACAUAUACUAUAGCUACUACCCACAUGCAACCUCUAUUCACAUGCAAAACACAUACUACACAGCAAACAGCCCAAUCCACAGACACACAACCCACAACAAUCUCCCACCCAAACAUGCAGCUCUACAAGCAGCCUCCCCCGGAUAUGUAACACCACAAGCAUCGUGCACAUAUUCAACCCCACAAGCAGCAUGCUGAGAAACAUACUACAAGCAGCCACUCCUUGCACAGGCAAACUUAAAAAGUAGUGUCCCCACUAAUCUUCAGCACCACAAGCAGCCUACCACCACACACUAGGAACCACAAGCAGCAUUUUACCCUUCUUAUUUUGUACCAUAGAUGUUCUUAUUUCUUUCAUUUGCCAAUUUCUUACCAGAUUAUUCUUAUUAUCACAAUGAUCUUAGAUACAUUUAUUCUCCCUCUUGAUUAUAUACCAUGAAAUGGAAGAAAAAAGACCUCCGUUUUGUAAAAUACCUAUAAAUAUCUCUAAAUAAUAGGUCAGUGAGUAAUUGUUGCUAGAUAUCUACGAUCAAUUGUCUCUGGGAUCAAACGUGUCUUUGAGAAUAACAUGGGCCUUGAUUGAAUAAGCUUACCAAAUUAUUCCAAUCUGUUAGGAAAAAAAACUUUUCAAAUUAUAUAUUAUUUACAACAUUUCUAAAAGACUGUAUUGGUGACAUCUGUAGAUAAUUUAUUUUGAAAGAUUUUCUAUCAGGACUGAAUCAUUUGGAAAACUUUUUAAACUGAAGCCAUAGUUAGAAAAAGAAAGACCAAUACAAAUUUACACACAGCCAUUUCAUCUGUCCCAAAGAACCUGAACAAGAAAAUAUUUUGUUCAAACUGCUGGUUAUUAUGUAGUCAUAACCUAGACUAUAUUUUUGAUGGUACAAUUACAUUCCAUUAGGGCCAGUCCCUUAAGGCCAAUCUUAAGGUGUUUUCUGGCCUUUGUACUGCCUCAUUUUUUUCCAGUACUGCCUCUCAUUUUUUUCCAGUACUGCCUCUCUACCUCUUAUAAUCUAGUAAGCUCCUUAUGGUGGCAAGGACAAGGAUUCAAGAAUGAAAAAUGUCAGAGGAGUGUAUCUAGAGCAAGCAUGUCAAACUGUAUCUAGGGCAAGCAUGUCGUGGCAAAAUCUUGUGGCAAGCAUGUCAAACUCAUGUCAAAUUGCCUAAUUAGAGAGCCCUGCUGGGCCACAAAUAUAUUCAUUGUGGGAUGAAUGCAUUUGUCCCACAAUGAAUAUAUUUGCGGCUCUCUAAUUAGGCGAUUUAGGUGGCCGCCUAAGGCCAUGCACUGAUUAAGGCUUGACGGCCACCUAAAUCUAUGAUGUAGGGAGGUGGCCCGGCAGCUUGCUCAUUAUGCCGCCGGGUAUGAGGCCCUUCCCUCAGUCUGGUUUGAGAGAGAGCCAAGCACUGCAGUUUUGCAAUCUCCAGCCAAUCAGAGCAUUGCUGUGGCAACGCUCUGUCUCUGCUGGAGAUCACAAGACACUUACCAUGUGGUCUGCAGCUCUGCACUCAGCUGCAGACCAGAUAAACAGAACACUGGACCACCUGCAAAAGCUGCCCACCUGACCACCAGGGAAUGUAUUAGGAAAUAAUUAUUUUGAAAAAAGGUAAUUUUGAUAGCAAAACACAAUAUCGCCUCCCCCCUACUCCACACUAUACCUCCCCACUCCACACUAUAUCUCCCACUUACUCCACACUAUAUCAACCCCCAGCUUCACACUGUAUCACCCUCCUGCUGCACACUGGAUCACCUCCCUGCUCCACACUACAUUACCCCCUCCAUACACACUGUCACCCCCCUCCACACACUGUCACCCCCCAUCCACACACUCUCACCCCAGUCACCCCACACUCCCUGUAAAUUUCUCUCACCCCAGUCAGUGGCUAUAUUAAAAUACACAGAAGCCUAGUAAUAAGUGAAUCCAGUGGCUAUAUUAAAAGGCACAGACACCUAGAAAUAAGUUUGAAUGAAAUAAAAAUUUGCAGGAAACUUUAACCAUUCAGAUGAAACCAAUGAAGGACAGAAAGGGUUAUGUAUGGACGUAGCAGGGAAUGUGGAGCAUCUAAGAGUAAAGAACUUACCCCAAUUCUCCCCCUAAUAAUGACAGACACCAAAUAUUGGAUGAAACAGGCCACAGCAUUUAUUAAACAUACAACUGUAGGACUCAUCCAAACUUUAUUAACCUUCGAUUUAAAUAUAAAUAAGCACAUUAACCAUAACUUAACAUAUAAAUAACCACUUAUUGCCCUACAGCCUUUAGCUUAAAUAACCGUCCUUACCAAUGAACUUAACCAGGUGCCUAUGCACCAAAACUUGCCCACUGGGCUCUUGCCUCCCCCCUCGUCCAAACCAAAAUUCCCUUUUUCUUUCAAUGCUCACCACCAGCUGGCUUUAGCUCGGUGGGCACAUCCAAGUUGGUAACUGAAAAGUUUACCUUACAGAGAAGGGCAGGGCCGGUGCAAGGAUUUUUGCCGCCCUAGGCAAAAGUAAGGUUUUCCGCCCCCCCCAUGUGACAUCACAAUGCCCCACCCAUAUGAUCUGCCAUGUUAACUAAUGCCAGUGCUGCAGUGCCGCCGUGUUUACAUUAAAAGGCCUGCAGGGACAGGCUAUAGACACCAGAACCACUACAUUAAGCUACAGUGGUUCUGGGGACUAUAGUGUUUCUUUAAUGUGAGGUAAAUUAGAGAUUAGUGCCACAAAUAAUAUACUAGAUUGCCUACUUACAACCAGAUGAGGAUGGUGAUGGGCUCUGGCUGCAGUCUGGCUCCACUGGUCUGGUGUAGAACAGGAUCUCUGGAGGCUGUUUGUAACUGUGGUCACAAAAAUCAAUGUUCUGGGAGAACGGGAAGCAGCUCCAUUUUUGGGGGCCCUUUACACAGCUCAAGGUCUGGGUCCCAGGGUCCACCUUCAUGCUCCACCAAUGAGUUUGUUCACAGAGAGAGUUUGUAGGGGAUGUCCUGAUAUGUGUGUAAGGAAUGCAUUGUGUGAAUCUGUGUUUGUAUUUGUAAGGGCUGCAAGGUGUGUUUCUAUGUAUGUACGGGAUGCAGUGUGUGCGUCUGUAAGGGGUGCAUUGAGUGUGUGUAAGGGAUGCAUUGAGUGUGUGUAAGGAAUUCAUUGUGUGUUUCUGUGUGUAAGGGAUGCAUUGUGUGUAAGGGUUGCAUUGCUUGUGUGUGUGUGUGUGUCUGUGUGUAUAAUGCAUUGUGUGUGUAAUGCAUUGUGUGUUUUUCUGUGUGCAAGGGGUGCAUUGUCUUUGUGUGUAAGGGGUGCAUUGUGUGUGAUUGUGUGUGUGUGUGUGUGUGUGUGAUGGAUGUCAAUCUCUCCCCCUCCCUUGUCACUCUCUUCUCCCCCCCUUGUCACUCUCUUCUCCCCUCCCCCUCCCCACUCUCGGCCCCCUUCCUCCCCGUCAAUUCCCCUGCCUGUCAAUUUCUUUCUCACCUCUCCAUGUCAAUUUCUUUCCUGUCAAUUUCUUUCUCUUCUUUCUUUCCUCCUCCCGUCAAUUCUCUCCCUCCCUGUCAAUUUCUUUCCCCCCCUCCUUGUCAAUUUAUUUCCCCCCCUGUCAAUUUAUUUCUCCCCCCUUCCCUACCUCUGUUGUAGCAUGGCCGGCUCUGUAUGGUCCGCGGGUAAAGGGAGCUUUUGUUUCCUGUACCCGGCCAAACUCAGUGUGCACUUCCUGUUAGUCUGGCCGGGCACAGGAGACAGAUGCUCCCUUUACCCGCGGACCAUACAGGGCUCGGCUACGCUACACUGAGGGAGUGACAGGAGGGAGCGCUGAGCGCUUCCCUCCUGUCAGCUCCUCUCCUCAUGCUGCGCCCGGGCAGUGCACCCUCAUGGACGCACCAGCCCGGGCAAAGCUGCAGCCACCUGAGGCUCUCUACAGAGCGCUCAGGUGGCUGCAGCAUGAGGGGGGCCCAAGGGGCGCCCUAGGCAACUGCCUAUUCCGCCUAACAGGUAGCGCCGGCCCUGGAGCAGGGGAGGUUGAGACCCACCUUGUCCAUCUCCUGACAUUCCAUCUGAUAUUCCCAAACCCUGUUGGCAAGCCCCACCCAAACGAACCAAGGCCUGUUUCACCGCUUCCUGGAUAGAAAGAUUAAAGAGGUCAAGCACAACCUCCGUUAGGUGCACGACAUCCCUACUGAACAAAACACCCUGUGGCGAACCAGGAUCCCUUUAACCCCUGACACAAAAUUAGAGACCAUACGAUAAAAUUUAACCCAACAGCGUUCUAUGGCUCUUUGAUUAUGGGCUCGCUGCCAGUACUUGCGUGAAAUGACUUCCGACCAGAUAAGCCUAACGUCCAGGAACAAAACCAAGACCCACGCUAAAUCCCUCUUAAUAGCGUUCCCCAAACCCCAAAUAGGCAUCAUCCCAAGAUCAUUACCCCCAGGUGAGAACACUAGGUGGACCCAAAAGCCGGGAAAGCUAAACUAGUUCAGGGAGGAGCCGAACCCACUUCAUACCUCUAUUCCCAAACCAGCGAACCUUCGCUUCAGAAGGCGUGAAACCUCCCGGACCGACAGCCGCCCGCUGCCUGGCCCAGAAGACAUACGAGACCCUGGAGGGACUCCCACAUAAGGAGAAAAACAUCAGUUUAGGAGGCGGGAAGAACGAACAUAUGAGACAAAAUGCCCAGAUGCCCAUGUCAGCAACACCCGGGGUUUCAACCAAGGACCCACUAGCAACAGCAGGCGCUGUGGCACCCAAUGCUGUAGCAGGGAUGCCAGCAUGGCCACCCACCACGGGAGAGGGGGACCCAGGGACCCCAGGAACUGCCAUAACCCCGUGCGGCUGCAGCGCCGAGGACCACACUGCCCGAAGCUGACCAUCUAAUGGGGGGUCCCUGCCUGCUUGCACACCCUGCUCCCACUGAUCCAGAAAAUCCCUAAGCCCUAAAAGAAACCCCCCCCAGUGAGGAACCCCUGGACUGAAAAGAAGAAACAUUAGUGUACUCACCAGCCGAUGCUCGAGGAACCUCCCAUGGCAAAGAAAACGAAGAUGAUCCAGGCAGGACAAAGUCAAUGUCAUUUUUAGCACUGUUCAGCCUUGCAGCAGCUCCUGGCACCACUUGCUGGACAGUUCCAGGAACAGCAGCCAGAUCCUGAGAAAAGAGCAGUGUAGAGGAGGUAAGCUCACACCCCGCUGAGAAGGGCAGCCGAGGAGGGGAGGAGGGAGGGUAACAGACAGAGCACUAGAAAAGGGGAAGAGAGAGGGAGGGAACCCAGGACCGAAGGGAGAGGGGGGACAAUAAAAGAGGACACCACAGGGGGGGAGGGAGAGGCGAACUAUGGACAGAACCCGGGGAAGGAGAGGGGAACCCCCCGGCUGACCCUAAUUUUCAGAAGACCCCCCCAAUGGCGGCACAGCCCACUCACUCUCACCGGCCCGGCUCUGGAUCCACUGGUGCGCCAACCACGCAGCGUCCGGGAACGCCUCCCAGAUACCUCAGGCUUUACUAGCUGUGCCACCCGUCUGUUCGCACCCACCGCUCACCGUCCAAGGCCGGGAAGCGUACUGGAGACCACAAGGGGAGCUGGCCGCGUGUCAGAUGGAGCUGACACACGGGCCUGACGGCGCCUCAGGCCUGGGCUCCAGGUCCUAUACCAGGCCUAAGGUGAGGCAUGACCACGGGGGGGGGGGACCCACACCGGCGACUAGACCAGGUUGGAGGUGCCUACCACCAUCCAAGGCAGCAGCAGCUCUGAGGGCAGACAGGAUACCUUCUAUAUCCAUCCUUCAAGUCACCAGGCCCAGGACAAACAGGAGCGCAGAGGCAAGGAAGUUGUUUGCUGGCCAGUCCCAGGAACAUAAAUAUACACCUACAAAAAAAUAAAAAAAAAUAAAAAUUAUAUAUAUAUAAUUUUUUUUAUUUUUAUUUUUUUGUAGGUGUAUAUUUAUGUUACUGUCUCAAGGGCAACAUAACCAAUCUAGCAAAUUUCAAUGUGUAAAAGUUGAAAUGGGUAAGCCUUAUAUUUGACCCUGUAACUUUUCAAAACACUAUAAAACCUGGACUUGGGAGGUACUGUUGUACUUGUGAGACAUCACUGUAUUUUAUUGCAUUUAUCACUGAAUACAUUGCUGUAUUUUAUUGCAGUAUAAGCUAACAGUAUUAUGACAUUCACAGUUAAAAUACCAUACAGAACUAAGAAAAUAACAGUUUCUUAUUAAAUAUUCAUAUUAUAUUAUGUUUCAUAUAUAAAUAUUUGAUGUAAAACGAAAGCCCUGUUUCUCCGGAACAAAACCAUAUAUAAUAUGUGUUGAUGCACUUAAAGGGAUUCUAUACUGUUAGCAAUACAUAGUUGUAUCUCUUACAAUAUAGUUUCCUCUGACCUUCCCCCCUCAGUAUGGGAAGGUGUGGAGAAAAUGACCUUGCCACUGGUACUUGAAGCGGCCUGCUUACCAGCCUCUUGCCCCAGGACUAUGGCCCCUGUAUUAGACCUUGGUGCAGGACUGUGGAAAGGCUUUUUUUGUGCCUUUUCCCUUCUAUGGUUCAGUAUAUGGGGCUUACUGAAUGGAUUAGCUUAUGGUGUUCGUUUACUGAACAAACAACUGAACAGUCAGACCACCCACGAGUGGAGUGUGCAGCCUAUUAAACUGCCAGACUUGUGGUUAACCGCAGCUUAAUUGAUGAACGGCUGGGUGGUCGCUGUUCGUAUAGUUGAACACGUGGCGCGGCCAUCUUGUUUAGUCAAAUGCGUCCAGCGGUGUUUUGUCAUCGAGCGCAUGGAACUAAAAUCAGACACUCGAUGACUUGAACACCGCUGGGACUUCCACCUCCAGUUAGGUUCAACUAGAAUUGCACGAACGGAGCACCAUUCGGUAGAAAUAAUCUACUGAACCAGAUACACUCACUGACUCUGUGCACGUACGACUCCAUUCGACUAUUUGAACGUUACUUCGACUGUUCGAAAUAGACCGUCCGCACAGCGUAAUUCUCUGGAACUAUUUUGGGCAUGAAACCAUGCGUGCGGUCGGUCAAAAAAAGACUUACAGCUAACUUUUGAACCCCUGAACCGGUCUGGGUGAUUUUUAAGUUUGUUGUUCCCCCAGAUCGGGGCUCUCAAGAGAUGAAUGUUUUAUCGGGUUCCAUUAUGAUUUUGGGGUGUUUCCAAACAUACAUAAGUAUAUAAACGUGUCCAUUUUUUGUUUGGAGAUAAUUGAGUUGAUACAGACAGUAAUUAACUCAAUUAUCUCCCAAGCAGAGGGGAGGGAUUGUGUAUGCUAUAUGGGAGUGUCUCAAUGUAAAACUCUGUUUUUAUUGGUUUAUUAACUGUGUAUCCCUGUGCCCAACAAGGUCCACCUGGGUGUCACCCUUGUUGGGAAACCUGCAUAAAAGGCCAGUGUGCCUCCAUUAAAAUUGAGUUUCUGUUUUACCCACAACAGAGUCUCAUCUCAUGUGUGGGGAAAAAGGCUGUAUCUACCCUGGGGAUUGCUACAUCACUAUACUCCUCUGGGAUUAUAAUCACUAGCUCUUUUAAGAGCUGUUCCUGCUACGCUCUCUUGAGUAGGAGAGGCUCACCCACUGGAAGAUGGAUCCUGGUCUUAGGUCCAGGGUGGGUGGGUGGAGGACGACGACUUCCCAGCCAAGCUGUAAUGCUGGACAUGGGGACUGCAGUGUUGAUGGUGUCAGAUGGAGUGCUUGGAGUCCUCGGUGAGCACUAGGAGCAUCGACUAAAGGAGGUACCCAGUCGGGGUGCCAGGCACUAGAGGCAGUCUUGACAGCCACUAGAGGCAGUCUUAGUCCUGCAAUGUAAUCAUUGCAGUUUAUCAAAAACUGCAAUGAUUACAUGCAGUGCAGGCGCAUUAACUCCCCAUCAGAUAAUGUCGAAGGAGGUGGAGCGCUAAACCAGCGCCAAGGGAGAUUGCAGAACUAAGUGGGACAUGGACACUGCACCUAGGCCACUUCAACAAGCUGAAAUGGUAUGGGUGCUUAUAGUGUCCAUUUAAUUUCAAUUUUAGAUAUCCCUGAACAGCAAUCUAUAACCAAAAUUGUUUAAUACUAUAUUUUUUCAAUAACGUUGUAGUAGACGAUUAAUUAAUCAAUAACCAAUAAUUCUGUUUACAGGCUGAAUACCAAAAUGCUUACCAAGG
This is a non-coding RNA of Pelobates cultripes (western spadefoot toad), 9730 nucleotides long. The record is from the annotation of a GenBank genome assembly. NCBI's taxonomy places the organism in Eukaryota, Metazoa, Chordata, Amphibia, Anura, Pelobatidae.